CUCGCCUGUCCCGCUGGUGGUGCGCACAGCGGCGGGCUCGGAGAACACCUCCGACCCCGUCCAGUCCCAUCUAUGUCUGAACAUUUCCAUGUCAACCAGACCGCAAUACCGAGUGCCCUGUCCAGUCUUUUCCUAAACACCACCUCCCUGGGCAGCCCGUUCCAAUAUCUGUGAAAAAAUUGGACCUUAUGUCCAGCCUGACCGUCCCUCAGGGCACUUUAAGACUAUUCUCUCUUCCUUUCACUGCCUGGGAGGAGAGCCUGAGCCCACCAGGCUGCAGCCUCCUUUCAGUGGGUUGCAGACAGUGGUUCACCUUGUGUAAUUGUUUGGCUUGUCUGCUGUUCGUGAUGUGCUAAAACUCUGCUUUGGGGGAUUUUUAUGGAAUGUAGAGCUUAUUGCAACAGAAGUGUAAUACAGAAUUCCCUUUACUGUUCAAGACAACAUUUAAUGAUGACAGAAGAUUAAAUGGCCUGUGCAGAAUCCUUUGCCUCUGUGCUGAACUAAAGCUGAUAUUAGGACAUCAAAUCCAACAGAGAGCUUUCAAGUAAGUUACAGAAGGAACACCAAAAGAGAUGAUGACAUGUUUCACACCAUGCCUCAAGAAGUAGAAUGAGGAAAAACUCCUGACACUGACUGACUGCAGCUGAUAAUCGAUGCUGUCACCUCCCUCUCUAGCCUAGAGAGUGACACCAUGAAGACCUGGGGUUUGCUGCAGGAUGCACUGCUGUGUUCUACUUCAGACCUACUCCAUUUCCAAGAGGAAUAAAGCUGUAGCCUUUCUAUUGUACUGAAGAAGGUUAUAAGAAUCAUCAAGCCCACAAAGAAACUCUCAGAUGAAGGGACUGAAAUAAUAGUGUUUGCCUCAGGAAACAAAUGAAAAAUCAUACUGAAUACUUGGCAAAAUUAAAGAAGAAUUAGUCAUCUCUAAGAAUAUCACAGUAUCUAGAGUUCCUAUAUUAAACAGUACCAAGGACUUCAAAACAUUUCCCAGAUUAGACUGUAACUAUUGCAGGUGAAUUUAAAGAAGUCUGAGGUGUCCUAACACCUGCCACAAUCUGAAACAGCAUAUAGGAUUCCACUUGGAUCUGACAGCAAUUCUGCUGUUGCUAUGGAAACAUUCAUAUUCCUUUAAAACCUUAGGAGGUCUGUAUCUCCUUAAGCCACUCUUGUGUAUUUUGUUGGCCUUUACUUCUGCUCCACCAUCUGAAAGAAGAAAAAAUCUGAGAUAUUCCUAACACUUAACCCCCCCAACCAGCAUCACAUAAAUUAAAACCUCCGAUGAAAGGUUAUCCUUGAAAUAAUUCUCCUAGCUUGGCCUGGCUUUCCAGUAGCCAUCCAGUUGGGCCAAAGACAUGAGAAAUAUCCUGACAGACAGGAUCUUACUGGAACAGCUCCAAAGCCUGACAGGCCAUUGCCUGCCUCUCCUCAGUGUAAGCUGUAGAGCCACUAAUUGUACAGGUGUGUAUUUCUGACUUUUAUGCAUUUCAUCCCAAAGCAUCACCCACUAUCGUAGAACUGAAGUAACUGUUCCUCAUUUGGUUUUAUCAAAUGUUACAGCAGACAAGCAGGAAAGACAGAACCAGGCCCAGUAGGCAAAGUAUUUUUUUUAUAAGAUUUGUCUCAUUUGAAGUCUUUCAGAUUUGAGAUCAGUUUCGUACUAAAAAAAAAAAAAAGAAAUUCUGAAAACAAGAAUUUGUUACUACACCUUUAACUAAAAAAACAAGCCACAAAACCCCACAGCAAAAAGUGAAAAAAGACAAUGGAGAUACAGAGUCUUCUAUUUUUUCAGUAAUAGUCUUGCAAUUUCUCAGUUUCCCAGAGAUUCCCUACCAGUUCCACAAGGGAUUCCAUCCCCUUGUUGAAACACAUUCUGCCCACUGCAAGGGUUCCUGAUUAUUUCCCUCAACCUGUAAAGUGAUUGGUAAACAGAAGCUAUUCCAGUCUGUUUCCACGAGUUUAUGUUUAUCAUUUCUCAUGAAGAGUAACUCAUUUAGUCAAAUCUUAUCAUCUGACCUCACAAUGACCAAAUUCAAUGAAAUGAAACAUUUAUUUCCAAAUAAAUAUAAGAAUUGGCAUAUUUGAAUAGUUUUCUACCUGAAGGAAGCAUGCAACACAUGGGAAAAGCUGCAGAAUGAAGACAUGAUACUUUUCACUGUGUCAGAAUAGAAAAGAGAAAAACUUCCAAAAGGAAAAAGCCGCAUCACCUCCAGAUGAGCGCAAGAAAAGAAUAUUCCAGAUAGAAUUCUUUAAAAGGUUAGACCAGAGUAAGUCAUUAUUGCAUGCCAUUUGAUACUGUCAUUUUUAAUUAAAGUCAUUCUAAAAAUACGCAGGGAAAA
Passer domesticus (house sparrow) is the source of this 2336-nucleotide long non-coding RNA. RefSeq lists it as uncharacterized. The transcript is spliced from 5 exons. Lineage: Eukaryota; Metazoa; Chordata; Aves; Passeriformes; Passeridae. The record is from RefSeq and is a predicted model, not a curated record.